Molecule: ribosomal RNA, 496 nt
Filed under: uncultured bacterium
Lineage: Bacteria
Description: partial 16S ribosomal RNA
Rfam family: Bacterial small subunit ribosomal RNA
Source: RNAcentral
GAUGAACGCUGGCGGCGUGCCUAAUACAUGCAAGUCGAGCGAACAGACGAGGAGCUUGCUCCUCUGACGUUAGCGGCGGACGGGUGAGUAACACAUGGAUAACCUACCUAUAAGACUGGGAUAACUUCGGGAAACCGGAGCUAAUACCGGAUAAUAUAUUGAACCGCAUGGUUCAAUAGUGAAAGACGGUUUUGCUGUCACUUAUAGAUGGAUCCGCGCCGCAUUAGCUAGUUGGUAAGGUAACGGCUUACCAAGGCAACGAUGCGUAGCCGACCUGAGAGGGUGAUCGGCCACACUGGAACUGAGACACGGUCCAGACUCCUACGGGAGGCAGCAGUAGGGAAUCUUCCGCAAUGGGCGAAAGCCUGACGGAGCAACGCCGCGUGAGUGAUGAAGGUCUUCGGAUCGUAAAACUCUGUUAUUAGGGAAGAACAAAUGUGUAGUAACUAUGCACGUCUUGACGGUACCUAAUCAGAAAGCCACGGCUAACUACGUG